GCUGGAACCGUUCGUGUGUGUGGAGUGUUGUUUGGGCGAUCGCUUCCAGCAUUGAGUUUGAUGGUCUAUGCUAUGCUGGAGCUUGUACAAUUUUAACAAAUGGUCUGCACGUCUUCCAAUUACAAUUUGAGCUCACUUACAGAAAAUUGCACCAUCCAAAUGCUUCCAUUAAAAGAGAUUUACAUGUGAAUUAGCUGAAGAAAGAUAAAGAUUGUUUUCCAGGAGACCAGAGAACUGAAAUCUCUAUCAUUCCUACCAGGGAUUUUCAGCCCCUCAAAUAUGACACCAGAUCCUGUGGAAUAAGAUGACAGUUAGAAUCUAAGCCACGCCAACUCUCCUAAGUGACCGAUAUGAAAACUCUGCCCAUCUGUCUCCAGCCAUUGAGUUUAUUUGAAAGGACUGUAGAGCAAUACAUAAAUAAAA
Long non-coding RNA from Sinocyclocheilus anshuiensis, 423 nucleotides. RefSeq lists it as uncharacterized. The transcript has 4 exons. The record is from RefSeq and is a predicted model, not a curated record. NCBI's taxonomy places the organism in Eukaryota, Metazoa, Chordata, Actinopteri, Cypriniformes, Cyprinidae.